This 293-nucleotide long non-coding RNA is filed under the name Carica papaya (papaya). Its description in RNAcentral is "long non-coding RNA (CPAP_LNC003682)". Lineage: Eukaryota; Viridiplantae; Streptophyta; Magnoliopsida; Brassicales; Caricaceae. The record is from RNAcentral.
UUUAUGGUUUUGGUGCCCAUACCGGAUGGGGUAUGGGGAUGGCCCUGGAAUUAAGUUAUUAAUGUGAAUGGUUCACGUAUAGCGGGGACCUCCUAUGGAUCCCCAUGGAUACUAGUAGGCUGAUAAAAGAGGAAAUUUGUUGCCUGAUGAUUGAAAUACAAAAGUAUGAUAUGUGUUAUGUUACAGAGUGUGCAUGAUCUUAUGAUAUUUAUGAUGUUAUUAUUUCUCAUAAGUUGUUUUCAUGAAUCUUACCGAGGUAAAUGGACAGUAAAUGUUUUUAUUAUUAAUAAAUG